This 445-nucleotide ribosomal RNA is filed under the name uncultured bacterium. RNAcentral's name for it is "bacterial SSU rRNA". It matches the Rfam family "Bacterial small subunit ribosomal RNA", at positions 354 to 796 of the family's 1533-position model. The record is from RNAcentral.
GUGAGGAAUAUUGUGCAAUGGAGGCAACUCUGACGCAGCCAUGCCGCGUGCAGGAAGAAGGCGCUACGCGUUGUAAACUGCUUUUAACCGGGAAGAAACCCCAGGACGUGUCCUGGGUUGACGGUACCGGAGGAAUAAGCACCGGCUAACUUCGUGCCAGCAGCCGCGGUAAUACGAAGGGUGCAAGCGUUAUCCGGAUUCAUUGGGUUUAAAGGGUGCGUAGGCGGAGCGUUAAGUCAGUGGUGAAAUCCUGCAGCUUAACUGUAGACUUGCCAUUGAUACUGGCGCUCUUGAGUGCGCUUGAAGUGGGCGGAAUGUGCCGUGUAGCGGUGAAAUGCUUAGAUAUGGCACAGAACACCAAUUGCGAAGGCAGCUCACUAAGGCGAUACUGACGCUGAGGCACGAAAGCGUGGGGAUCGAACAGGAUUAGAUACCCGAGUAGUCC